CCUACGGGUGGCAGCAGUGAGGAAUCUUGGUCAAUGGGCGCGAGCCUGAACCAGCCAAGUCGCGUGAGGGAUGACGGUUCUACGGACUGUAAACCUCUUUUGCCGGGGAGCAAGCGUGCGUUCGUGAACGCGCGUCGAGAGUACCCGGAGAAAAAGCAUCGGCUAACUCCGUGCCAGCAGCCGCGGUAAUACGGAGGUUGCGAGCGUUAUCCGGAUUUAUUGGGUUUAAGGGGUGCGUAGGCGGGAUGCCAAGUCAGCGGUAAACAUGCGGUGCUCAACGCCGUCGAGCCGUUGAAACUGGCGUUCUUGAGGGGGCGAGAGGUAUGCGGAAUGCGUGGUGUAGCGGUGAAAUGCAUAGAUAUCACGCGGAACGCCGAUUGCGAAGGCGGCAUACCGGCGCCCUACUGACGCUGAGGCACGAAAGCGUAGGGAGCAAACGGGAUUAGAUACCCUAGUAGUC
RNAcentral lists this ribosomal RNA (460 nucleotides) under uncultured bacterium. RNAcentral's name for it is "partial 16S ribosomal RNA". It matches the Rfam family "Bacterial small subunit ribosomal RNA", at positions 338 to 795 of the family's 1533-position model. The record is from RNAcentral.